GGCAGUAUUUACUGGGCAGAAAUGAAAAAGCUGAAAUCUGGUACUGGAAAGAAAGGGAAAGAGGAUGCAUGUGAGAAGACACCAGAGUAUGUCUGGCACAUGGUCUGGAAAUGAAGCAGAAGCAGCUCCAGUAUCCUGCAGUGUUGGUGGCAAUGUUUUCCGUUUGUUUACAGCCUGAGAGGUGCUGCAGCAGAAAAGCAGAUCUGCUUCCUCAAAGACUGUCACACCCAUCUGGAGAACAGAGGCAUUGACCUAUGGGUUUAACUCGCUGUUAGCCUCCUGCAUCUCCCAGGAAGAAGUCUUCAUCUCUUUUAACUUGAUGCUCUUACCUCUUGCCCAAACAACAGGUUUCUCAAGGCUAGUUCUUGAGCCACAUGAGAAACAUGAAAUAGUUUAAUGCAAAAUACAGUCAUCCUCCUUUUUAACUAUACCAAUGAAAUGGCUUUGAAGAUGAUGUUUUGCAAGUGCUAAUUAAUAGGACUGUCAUUGUGACUCCACAUUGCUACUGCAGAGGAAUCAGGCUGUUGGGUGCCAUGUGUCUCUGAAGAUGCACAGCUUGCCCUGGUUGCAAUGUUUUUUUUUUUUAUUGAGCAUCUUGCUCUCAGCUGCUACUAGAAGCAGGAAACAUCACGAAGCUGGGAUGAGCUGAUACAGUUUGUUCCUUGGAUUGCUUUCCAUCUAUUCCUGCGAUGCUGCAGGUAUUGCAGCAGCUCUUGGAGGGGAGCUGGCUGCCUUACCUGACUAAGGGCUGAAACAGUUGCAGGACUGUGACUUCAGGAACAAGCACCAGCCAAGCAAGGUAGAGGAGGUUUGGACAGGAGUACUUCAGUCUAGGGCCUAGGCUUCACCUCCAAGCACACUGACCUCAGGAAAGUCCAUUACUGCUUCUCUCUCACCUGUGGACCCAGCAGAAAUUGUUGGACUUUGGGACCACACUGUACAGCCUUUAUCAAGUGUGGUCUUUGCACAUCCCCGCUGGUAUGGGAUAUGAAGAGCUUUGUUUUCCUGCAACCCAAAAAUGCCAACUUUUUAAAAAUAUCUGGAAAUAAACAGUUAUAUGAUCCACUGAAAUUCAUAACAAAGGACAAAUUGAAUCCUUCAUGCUGUGUAGCAGCCAUAAAUAAAGGUUUUAUGGCUGAGAAGUUGUAGGCAAUGUUCCAGCAAAAUUGGAUUUAUUCCCUCCCCACCCCCUGCAAUAUAAAUCUCUGGAAAUGGGGGUUCCAAGGGCAGUUCUGACACUACAUUAACUGCAGCUUCUUAAACCAGACUCCCUGCCAGUAUUUAUAGUCCACGUUCUGCUCAUGGUAUGUGUGUAUAUUGCUGCACCAGCUCUUACAGUUGAUUUCUCAGUAGUCAUGUGAAACCAAAACAACUGAUGGGCUGAACUUGAAAUUGCUUGUGCAUUUCUUCAAUUAAAAGAAAAAGGGGGGGGGGGGAAGGGAGGGGGAUCUGUCUUUUUAUUAGAAAAAAGAUCUCUUCACAUUCCUCCCAGAUUCCUCCCAGUCAGCAGUGGCUCAACCUCCGUGAGUGUUAUUCCCUUCUUCUCAAGACCACUGGCCAGGUUUGUAGGAGAACCCUGAGAGACUUUAUUGGCUGGUUGUACAGUCACAACGUGAGUAACUGUGCACUUCUCACAAAUGCCUGGUCCCACCUCUGCUUGCUGUCUGCUCAGAGAUUUAGCCCUGAGACUUCAUAAAAUAAGGUCUUGGAGUAACCAAGUCCUAAAACUGAAGUCCAGCCAGGUGGUUCCCUGUUAAGGAAGAACAAUGCAAUGCACUGGAUUUAAGAGCUAGAUUUUAGCUUCAGGAUCCAAGUACUGGGAUCCAAGUACUGGUCAGUGGUGCCAGCAGAUCACUGAGAAGUGAAUAAAGAAACUGGGAACAAAACUCUUCAUUUGUCUGUUUUGGGGUAGUGGAGUACGUUGGUUUGUGCUGCCUUCUUGUGUGCAUAGCAUCUAGUCAAAGAUGGAAUCUGCAAUGAGGAAUUUGUUCUCGUUAAGCAAUUGCCCAAAUAUCUUCUUUGCGAGGCUGACUAGUGCUUCUGCACAAGUGAGACAGAUGUAGAGCCAGUGACCUCUCUGCUCUUGUCUACAGCUUGUUACGAACGCUGAACAAAAUGGCUUAAAUUGUUGGGACUUGAGAAAAGAUAUCUUUGAGCUCUGACCCUUCAUAACAGAAUCCAGACACCGAACCUUGCUUCCAUGUAUUUCAUAUGAAGCACCUGACACAGCAGCAACAAAUAACGCCGGAGUAAAUCCAGCAGCCAGGAGCAGUUUGCCUUCAUUAGCCAAGGCAAAGGUCACGCUGCUGGUGUCACCGCUGGUGUCUGGCCACUACUGGGGUUGUCGCCUGCCUCAGGCCUUAGCGGAGAGCUUGUGCAAGGGAGGUGAGGGGCAGGAACAGGGCUAAAAGGCUCCUGAUACCCCUAACGGGCCUUUUUGUACCCUGCAGCUGCAGUAACUUCCCAAACCUGAAUGUGCUGACUUGGAAAUUUAGCAUCAGCCUCAAGUUCUGGAUGUGAGCUACAGGUACUGACGUGCUGAAGCAUGACAGAUCUGAGGUCCAGGCAUCCCCUUCCUUUUUCUCCUAAGAGAUGCCUAAAAUAAGACCAUUAGGCCAAAGUUAUCAGCAGCCCAGAGCUGUUAACUCUGCAGUCCCUUCAGCUCCCAGUUCAGAAAGGGUAAGUGCAUGUUUCUAAUUACGUGGCUGCUGCAGCGAAUACAGCCGCUCGCCCCCCAGCCCCAGACACAAACGCUCCAUUCCCCAAAUUACUGCUGACUGCCUGGGAUUGGGUUUUAUUGCAGACAAGCAAAGCCAAUUUUUGGGGGGUGAGGUUAAUUCAAGCAGCCCCCUCUAUAGAGCUUUAUCCUGCAAAUGGUUAAAUGCUUAACUAUGCAAAAUGGUCUAAAAUUAAAGUGUGAAGCUACGUUUCUAAGGGUUUGUGGCACUGAGACUUGAAGUUCCUUUUUCUCCCCUAGUUUCCACCAUACUUUUCUCUGGAAGACAAGCUGAUAACCAUAAGCCCAAGCUUCAGAUGUCUAAAGACUGCACUUUCUUCAUUGAUGGAAUUAAUCCAACCAUCAGGCGGCAAACAUCACGGUAUCAAAAUAAGUCUCAAAAUGUUAAAAUUCAGUCCUCACCUAUUGCCUGGUCAGUGAACAGGCCCUGUGGAAACAGCGGUGUGCAUGUUGGGAAGCAAACCAGUGUUACGACAAACGUGUUACGACAAACUUCUGAUCUUCCUUACUGCUGACUUAGGAGUAUGAAUUCUACUGCGUUAAGCAGAAGGGAAUAGAUAUUUUUUUUAUUUAAAACAGAGUAACUCGAAGUGGUCGUAAUAGCCCAUGUUGCUUUUGUGCUGAGGUAAUGAAUGACUGUAGUAUAAAGUGGUCCUAGUUUUUGCCUCAAGCUCUUGUCAAUCAUUACCUGAUAAAUAAAAACUUCAAACAGGCUCCUUUUAAUGUAAUUGGGUAGAAUUUCUCUCCGAAGGAAGGCUGAAUACAGUGAAUAAUGUGUUUGUGGCAGCAGUAGAAGUCAGCAAGUGAGGUAUUUGGAUGGAAACCUACAGAGGAUGCAAAUCCUGAAUUCAAAAGAUGAGUCUUUUUAGUUUUACUGCAUCCAGAAGCUUCUGUUCCCAUCGUUGGCAGAGCUGAAUGGAUUGAACAGAGCUGUAGAGGAAAUCCUGUGGUCCUUGGCACCACCGCUGAGUUCUGCUUGUGCUAGCCCUGCUCUCCCUCCCUGUUUUUAGGCUUUACAGCUGACACUUCCAUAAAAAAUCAGAAAUCUUAAGAUUACACUAAAGCUCACUUAAAUCAUUAUCUUUUAUUAUAUGAACCUUGGCAGCAGCAGAGGCAGUUUCCUGUGUAAGGACCAAGGGUCCUAUUGUCAGCACUGGAACAGAACUAAAACAGCUCAAUUAAGCAAACAUAACAUCCUCAAAGUUUGGCCUGAAAGAAGUUAAAAUAACUGAUCUACGAAAUGUUAUAAAUGUGCUUUAAGAUGUCAUUACUCAGAUAAAUCUAGCAGUUUUGAAGCUGGCUCACUCCAGUUUUAUGGCCCUGCCCGUUAAUGGCUGCGUACGUAUUCAUGUCAAGAAUUCCUCUUCCAAAACAGUAGAUGAAGAGACAAAGCCACAGUAGCGCUGCGGACUGACGGGAGGCUGCGAGGAACUUGGGAACAGAGUUUUGGCUCCCGGGCUGGGAAAGCUGCUACAGAGCAUAUCCAGCAAAUUGUGUGUGUUUGUGGCAGGGCUGGAAACCAACUGGUAUUUCACGACGUAAGGCUGGAUGUGUUGAAGUCAGUGGUAAAGCUGCUCUUGGCUGCUCUAUAGUAACUCUAUAGUAAGACUGGUGCUGCAAGGCACAAUGAUUUCUUAUUUUUCUUCCCCUUGCUGGAACCACCUCUGACUUAAAGUGGGCUUAAAUGUGGAGGAUUUGGUCCGUACUGAGAAAUACCAGAAGGCCCUCCUCCUCAAACUAGUCUAGACGUACAGAGUCUGGACAGACUUCAGUUAGGGCAAUAAGGCCUUUCCACUGACACUUUGCUGGACUUUGGAUCAGCGCAUCAAACAUUUCCUUAUGAUCUGUAAUCACUUGUGAAGGAUGGCAGUGCAGCUUCAGAAAGCUGAUGAUUUAAGUCGCUGGAUCUGCAAAGGCAUUUAUGUAAAUUGGCACGACUCUGCUCACAGUUCAAAGUAAACAAGAACCCCAAAAUUGCUGUUAUGCCCCGAAGAUGUAAUGUUUAGUUAAUACAGGGAUUUAGACCAUUAUUUUUUUCAGCUGCCUCCAUA
Molecule: long non-coding RNA, 4788 nt
Organism: Oxyura jamaicensis (ruddy duck)
Lineage: Eukaryota; Metazoa; Chordata; Aves; Anseriformes; Anatidae
Exons: 2
Source: RefSeq, a predicted model, not a curated record